This 305-nucleotide ribosomal RNA is filed under the name uncultured bacterium. RNAcentral describes it as "bacterial SSU rRNA". It matches the Rfam family "Bacterial small subunit ribosomal RNA", at positions 334 to 631 of the family's 1533-position model. The record is from RNAcentral.
UCUGCCUACGGGACGCAGCAGUAGGGAAUCUUCGUCAAUGGGCGCAAGCCUGAACGAGCGAUGCCGCGUGAGUGAAGAAGGCCUUCGGGUCGUAAAGCUCUGUUGCGGGGGAAAAAAGGCAGCAUCAGGAAAUGGGUGCUGACUGAUGGUGCCCCGCCAGAAAGUCACGGCUAACUACGUGCCAGCAGCCGCGGUAAUACGUAGGUGGCGAGCGUUAUCCGGAAUGAUUGGGCGUAAAGGGUGCGCAGGCGGUCCUGCAAGUCUGGAGUGAAACGCAGGAGCUCAACUAAUGCAUGGCGUUGGAA